This 465-nucleotide ribosomal RNA is filed under the name Vreelandella stevensii. Its description in RNAcentral is "partial 16S ribosomal RNA". It matches the Rfam family "Bacterial small subunit ribosomal RNA", at positions 338 to 795 of the family's 1533-position model. The record is from RNAcentral. Lineage: Bacteria; Pseudomonadati; Pseudomonadota; Gammaproteobacteria; Oceanospirillales; Halomonadaceae.
CCUACGGGAGGCAGCAGUGGGGAAUAUUGGACAAUGGGCGAAAGCCUGAUCCAGCCAUGCCGCGUGUGUGAAGAAGGCCUUCGGGUUGUAAAGCACUUUCAGUGGGGAAGAAAGCCUUGGGGCUAAUACCCUCGAGGAAGGACAUCACCCACAGAAGAAGCACCGGCUAACUCCGUGCCAGCAGCCGCGGUAAUACGGAGGGUGCGAGCGUUAAUCGCAAUUACUGGGCGUAAAGCGCGCGUAGGCGGUCUGAUAAGCCGGUUGUGAAAGCCCCGGGCUCAACCUGGGAACGGCAUCCGGAACUGUCAGGCUAGAGUGCAGGAGAGGAAGGUAGAAUUCCCGGUGUAGCGGUGAAAUGCGUAGAGAUCGGGAGGAAUACCAGUGGCGAAGGCGGCCUUCUGGACUGACACUGACGCUGAGGUGCGAAAGCGUGGGUAGCAAACAGGAUUAGAUACCCCGGUAGUC